CCUACGGGAGGCAGCAGUAGGGAAUAUUGGGCAAUGGGCGAAAGCCUGACCCAGCGACGCCGCGUGCGGGAUGAAGGCCUUCGGGUUGUAAACCGCUUUCAGUAGGGAAGAAGCGAAAGUGACGGUACCUACAAAAGAAGCACCGGCUAACUAUGUGCCAGCAGCCGCGGUAAUACAUAGGGUGCAAGCGUUGUCCGGAAUUAUUGGGCGUAAAGAGCUCGUAGGUCGUUUGUUACGUCGGAUGUGAAAACCUGAGGCUCAACCUCAGGCCUGCAUUCGAUACGGGCAAACUAGAGUUUGGUAGGGGAGACUGGAAUUCCUGGUGUAGCGGUGGAAUGCGCAGAUAUCAGGAGGAACACCAAUGGCGAAGGCAGGUCUCUGGGCCAAUACUGACACUGAGGAGCGAAAGUCUGGGGAGCGAACAGGAUUAGAUACCCUGGUAGUCCAGACCGUAAACGGUGGGCACUAGUUGUGGGAACCUUCCACGGUUUCUGCGACGCAGCUAACGCAUUAAGUGCCCCGCCUGGGGAGUACGAUCGCAAGAUUAAAACUCAAAGGAAUUGACGG
Molecule: ribosomal RNA, 567 nt
Filed under: uncultured Actinomycetes bacterium
Lineage: Bacteria; Bacillati; Actinomycetota; Actinomycetes
Description: bacterial SSU rRNA
Rfam family: Bacterial small subunit ribosomal RNA
Source: RNAcentral